AGAUUGGGUAAUCUCAUCCACUCUCAACCCAAUCAAGCUCAGUAUAUUACCUUUAUGCCCUGAAUAUUUAUUUCUAAUUACAAGACUACCCCAUAUAUAUAGGAAUUACCCCAAAAAUUAUUGAGUUAGCCCUAGAAUUUUACCGACAUGGCAAUACACGCCGUUCUUCGUUCUGCUUUUCUCCACUGUGGUCGGUAGUUUUUUCACCGAGAUUUCUUCAAACGCAUCCGAGUAUUGCUGAAGAAGUUUGGGUUCAUAUGGGUGAUUUUCGAUUUUGGUUUCGAAGUAGUUCGUAGUUUGGCCGGGCUGAUUCUGUUCCGGCCGAACGAUUCCGGUGUUGCAGCUGGUUGACAGUUGGCUGUCGAUUAUCCCGGUUCUGCUACACGACGAUUUAAGGUGAGUUCUCCAAUGGGUUUAAGCUCGUCUUUUAGAUUACAGAUUAAGGAUUGAGAAAGGUAGCAUUUAUUUGGAAAAAAUAUUGUAUCUUUUUUUUUUGGGAAAAAAUAGUACAUUAGUGAAAUAAUAUAUGGUGUUACUCAGUAUAAAUUGUUUGGCCUUAAUAUUGUUUGGCAUAAACAGUAUAUAAAGAAUGCAAUUAAGUUGUUUUUUUUGUAAUAGUUUACGAUAGUUAUUUCAUCUUUGCUUGCUCUAGGAGUUGGUUUAUAUGUUUCAUAUGUUUGAGAGAGGUUACAGGGUCUGGAAUGUGAAAUUUAGUUGUGAAUGUGUUUGAGAGAGGUUGCAUGGUCUGGAAUGUGAAAUUUAGUUGUCAACGAUCCAACGGUCUUUAACUCUAUACUCGAUGAAAUCGCCGCCGAAAUGCGACUCACUACGGUGAGACCUUUACGAAUGACGUUGUUAAACGUCGGACCUUCCUACUAAAAAAUCGUUUCAAUGCAUUUGUCAAAUUCAUUGGACUACCCGGUGUCAACUACAACCGUAGGACCGAACGUGUAUCGGUUGACCGGACGUAUGUCACGAGUCCAAAGAACAAAGUAUGUAAACCUAUUUUUAUUGCAUAAAAUGCACGGUAAAAUUUUUGUUGUCUUAUUCUAUGAAUAUGCAAAUCAUUUAAUUGUGUAUGACCCUAUACUUUUCCCUUUCACAAUUAGAAAAAAACGGAACAUGCAUUGCACAACUAUUUCGCUGCUAACGGGUUUCCCUACUACGACACUUUUGAGUUGGUAUUUGUGGAGAAAGAAGCAGGGACGAUAGAGUUUAGUGAUAAACAAGGGUUCGUAAAAGAUGACCCAAUCACAAUUGACGAAGGAACUCGACCGGGUGUUGAGGGUGUGAACGAUGAAUACGCUAUUGUGCCGUAUGAGGGUGUGAACGAUGUUGUGCCCGUGGGUUACUAUACCGGCGAGACCGACGGGUUCUCGGGGCGUAUAGAUGGUUGACAGCGAGUCAACUAGCUUGGUCAUUGUGAUUUCUGAUAUUUUUAUGACUUUAUUCUCCGUUUACCGUAUUUUUCAUCGUUGUAAUUGUUUUAUUGUCUUCGUGUUUUUUUAUUUUAUUUCAUAGUAAUUGGUUUAUGCAAUUGCGAAAGUAUCGUUGUGCUCGGUCAUUGGUUAUAGUGUGAUCAAUUAUUCAAUUAUAACUUUAAAUUCUAUA
This is a non-coding RNA of Erythranthe guttata (spotted monkey flower), 1611 nucleotides long. NCBI's taxonomy places the organism in Eukaryota, Viridiplantae, Streptophyta, Magnoliopsida, Lamiales, Phrymaceae. The record is from RefSeq and is a predicted model, not a curated record.